Cephalotus follicularis is the source of this 73-nucleotide transfer RNA. It matches the Rfam family "tRNA". Rfam says of the family: Transfer RNA (tRNA) molecules are approximately 80 nucleotides in length. Their secondary structure includes four short double-helical elements and three loops (D, anti-codon, and T loops). Further hydrogen bonds mediate the characteristic L-shaped molecular structure. tRNAs have two regions of fundamental functional importance: the anti-codon, which is responsible for specific mRNA codon recognition, and the 3' end, to which the tRNAs corresponding amino acid is attached (by aminoacyl-tRNA synthetases). tRNAs cope with the degeneracy of the genetic code in two manners: having more than one tRNA (with a specific anti-codon) for a particular amino acid; and 'wobble' base-pairing, i.e. permitting non-standard base-pairing at the 3rd anti-codon position. Lineage: Eukaryota; Viridiplantae; Streptophyta; Magnoliopsida; Oxalidales; Cephalotaceae. The record is from Rfam.
GCCCCCAUCGUUUAGUGGUUAAGGACAUCUCUCUUUGAAGGAGGCAGCGGGGAUUCGACUUCCCCUGGGGGUA